Mytilus trossulus (common blue mussel) is the source of this 1507-nucleotide long non-coding RNA. RefSeq lists it as uncharacterized. Lineage: Eukaryota; Metazoa; Mollusca; Bivalvia; Mytilida; Mytilidae. The record is from RefSeq and is a predicted model, not a curated record. The transcript is spliced from 8 exons.
CAUUAGCACUGUGUUGCAUACUUGAAGUGGAAGGAGCUGGUAUAUUAGAACCAAGAAAUAAUUUCUGUAGACCAGUUGUGCUGAUAGCUAUGUGAUUAAGUGCGACUUGUAUGGAUAGAUUAAUAGCUGCUGUUCGACGACCACGUUUCUUUGCGAUCACCUCAUUGUAAAGGUUGAACAUUUUUGAAUGCACAUUUUUCAACUUCUGUUUUUGUCGGAGGCUUCGGCCUUAGAAAGCGAGCUGAUUUUGUAGAGGCAGGAAUGAGUUGAACAUUCUUAUUAUGAACAGAUUUAGUCACUAAGUCAUACAAGUCUUUUGGUAGUCUCACAAAUUUGCCUUUUUCAGCAGGAGGACUGGAAGACAUUUGGGUGUUGAGUCAAAUUUAAUGGAAAAAUUCAGUGCGAACCUGCAAUGUUUAUAAAUGGAGGGCAGUAAAACUUGAAAAUAUGCCGCACAGCUAUAUGUUUUUAUUAGUGCAAAAAAAAGUAGUGCAUGUCUCCUUUCCAGGGAAAUCUAACAUUCUCCUCAAAACUUCCUGAAUGAAGAGUGACUGCAUAUGCAAUUUAGGCAGUUCCUAUGGAAAAUUGCAUUGCUGGUUUUACACAAGUGCAACCUAUAAGACCAUGGGCAGCACGACUUCCUGGUUCGAUGGGAACCCCAGCCGCUUGACAGAGUUUCACGAUGGAUUCUCCAGGGCCAUUAUUUACGUUAUGUAUAGCUGUAUGUACCCUUCCUUUAUAGUUUCUGAAACAACAUUAGCACUGUGUUGCAUACUUGAAGUGGAAGGAGCUGGUAUAUUAGAACCAAGAAAUAAUUUCUGUAGACCAGUUGUGCUGAUAGCUAUGUGAUUAAGUGCGACUUGUAUGGAUAGAUUAAUAGCUGCUGUUCGACGACCACGUUUCUUUGCGAUCACCUCAUUGUAAAGGUUGAACAUUUUUGAAUGGAGGACUGGAAGACAUUUGGGUGUUGAGUCAAAUUUAAUGGAAAAAUUCAGUGCGAACCUGCAAUGUUUAUAAAUGGAGGGCAGUAAAACUUGAAAAUAUGCCGCACAGCUAUAUGUUUUUAUUAGUGCAAAAAAAAGUAGUGCAUGUCUCCUUUCCAGGGAAAUCUAACAUUCUCCUCAAAACUUCCUGAAUGAAGAGUGACUGCAUAUGCAAUUUAGGCAGUUCCUAUGGAAAAUUGCAUUGCUGGUUUUACACAAGUGCAACCUAUAAGACCAUGGGCAGCACGACUUCCUGGUUCGAUGGGAACCCCAGCCGCUUGACAGAGUUUCACGAUGGAUUCUCCAGGGCCAUUAUUUACGUUAUGUAUAGCUAAACAACAUUAGCACUGUGUUGCAUACUUGAAGUGGAAGGAGCUGGUAUAUUAGAACCAAGAAAUAAUUUCUGUAGACCAGUUGUGCUGAUAGCUAUGUGAUUAAGUGCGACUUGUAUGGAUAGAUUAAUAGCUGCUGUUCGACGACCACGUUUCUUUGCGAUCACCUCAUUGUAAAGGUUGAACAUUUUU